RNAcentral lists this long non-coding RNA (2115 nucleotides) under Salmo salar (Atlantic salmon). RNAcentral describes it as "lncRNA (ENSSSAG00000111996.1)". Lineage: Eukaryota; Metazoa; Chordata; Actinopteri; Salmoniformes; Salmonidae. The record is from RNAcentral.
GUCAUGCCACACGUCAUGCCACACCCCAUGCCACACCACAUGCCACACGUCAUGCUGCACGUCAUGCCACACGUCAUGCCACACGUCAUGCCACACAUCAUGCCACAUGUAAUGCCACACCCCAUGCCACACAUAAUGCCACACCACAUGCCACACAACAUGCCACACAACAUGCUACACAACAUGCCACACAACAUGCCACACGUCAUGCCUCACAACAUGCCACACAGCAUGCCGCACGUCAUGCCUCACAACAUGCCACACAACAUGACAUAUAGAACCCUCCUCCAGCAGGCUGUGGUCCAUCUGUGGUAGCCCACUGACUCCACUCUCAAAAAAAACAAGUAGGUCAUUUUGUUAAUGACCUGGGGGGUAUUUCAAGUAGGACAUACAGACAGUAUAGGGUUUUACUAUUGACCGGGCCUCUGUAUUGAACAGACAUACAGACAGUAUAGGGUUUUACUAUUGACCGGGCCUCUGUAUUGAACAGACAUACAGACAGUAUAGGGUUUUACUAUUGACCGGACCUCUGUAUUGAACAGACAUACAGACAGUAUAGGGUUUUACUAUUGACCGGGCCUCUGUAUUGAACAGACAUACAGACAGUAUAGGGUUUUACUAUUGACCGGACCUCUGUAUUGAACAGACAUACAGACAGUAUAGGGUUUUACUAUUGACCGGGCCUCUGUAUUGAACAGACAUACAGACAGUAUAGGGUUUUACUAUUGACCGGGCCUCUGUAUUGAACAGACAUGUAUUGAACUAUCCACUUACAGUACCGUCUUAUCAAAUAUACACAAUGUUAUAUCCAUUCACCAGCAGUUUGACUGACAUUGGCCCAUAGGGGUAUAUGGUUAUUACAUAACAGCACAGAUUUAUAGUAUGCCAAUGGCCACCAUCCAGACCUGGGUUAAAAUGCUAUUUGGAAUCACUUUAAAUACUUUAGCUGUUCUUGACUGGCGCAAUGGAACCAAUAGAAGAAUCCCAGAAGUGCAAACCACGCCCACCUGGCACUCCAGGCAGGCUUAUGUAAUAGCUCAACAUAUUUGAAAGAUUGAUAGUAUGCCCACUUCCCACACAUUAUAGCAUCCUUUACUAAAUAUAGUCCUAUAUGGUAAUGAUGCAGUGGUUCCCAACCUUUUUGGAACUGUGGCACACCUUGAUAGGAUAUAACAUGUCCCUAUUGAUUUAUAUAGUGGUAAUGACCUCCAAGCCAUCUGAUCCAUACUGCAAACCAUCUAGGUUCUGGUGACAAACGGUGUUAUUAAAUAGGGUUUAUUUGAAAUAUUAUUUAUAGUUUUAAUAGUUCCUUACUCAUGAUGGUUAAUUUGUGUGUACCCAUUUUAAAAACGUCUCGCAAAAAUCUGCCCAGAAAAAAAACUCAAAUGUAGGUCCGGUAAGUAAAAUAGAUAUUUAGUUUUGAACCGCUUUGUGCUACAGACAAGUGGUUUUGUGCAUUGUAAAGGUGUAACCACGGAUACAAAGCCAUGCUCCGUUGGUUUCCAUGGCAGAGGCUGUAGUAUAACUAAGUUCAGAGCCAUAUUAAGAAAUACUGUAACUGACUUCUGGUUAAGCCUAAUCACAUUUACCUGUGCUAAUGGUUUUCACAGACGAAUCAAAAUGAUACAUAUGAUUUUGUUAACAAAUGACUGCUCUAUUUAAAAUUAUAACAAACUAAUUGCAGCAUUACCGAAAAAAAAAUGGAAGUGGCAGGUGGAAGGGGGAGAAGUGAGGAACUUGUCUGUCGGCCCUGCAUUAAAGACCAAAAUUGGUUAAAGAAAAAUUGGGAUGAAUAAAAAAAGUAUACCGGUGCAUUAGUUUACUCCAAUUAGGGGAGCGAUGAAUGAUAGGGCUAGGGUGAUCGGAGGAUAUUGGGGAUUGGAAAUGAUGCAGACAAUUACAUUGAUAGAAGGCACACUCUAUCUGCACUAGUAAAGCUCAUCUGCCUGUGCCCUCAAAUGAGACAAAUGCAUAGAGAUAGAUAGAGGACUCAUCUUCAUAUCUGUGCCAUUAUAGCGUAUGUGACAGCAUUGGCAGCGCUAUUGAGGCUACAACCCAUAGGAAUCCCCACCCAAAUGACUACGUUAAUAACUACUUUAAAAUGGUGGAAGCCCU